This 77-nucleotide transfer RNA is filed under the name Candidatus Berkelbacteria bacterium. Its description in RNAcentral is "tRNA-Met". It matches the Rfam family "tRNA". Rfam says of the family: Transfer RNA (tRNA) molecules are approximately 80 nucleotides in length. Lineage: Bacteria; Candidatus Berkelbacteria. The record is from RNAcentral.
GGCAACGUAGCUCAGUUGGUUAGAGCGAGGGAAUCAUAACCCCUAGGUCACAGGUUCGAAUCCUGUCGUUGCCACCA